GUUGCAUAUCCAAAUAAGCGGAGGAAAAGAAACCAACAGGGAUUGCCUCAGUAGCGGCGAGUGAAGCGGCAAAAGCUCAGAUUUGAAAUCGUGUUUCGGCACGAGUUGUAGAUUGCAGGUUGGAGUCUUUGUGGAAGCGUGUGUCUAAGUCCCUUGGAACAGGGUGCCAUUGAGGGUGAGAGCCCCGUGAGACGCGUGCGGAAGCUGUAAGGCCCUUCUGACGAGUCGAGUUGUUUGGGAAUGCAGCUCUAAGUGGGUGGUAAAUUCCAUCUAAGGCUAAAUAUUGGCGAGAGACCGAUAGCGAACAAGUACUGUGAAGGAAAGAUGAAAAGCACUUUGAAAAGAGAGUGAAACAGCACGUGAAAUUGUUGAAAGGGAAGGGUAUUGGGCUCGACAUGGGAUUUGCGCACCGCUGCUCCUUGUGGGCGGCGCUCUGUGCUUUUCCUGGGCCAGCAUCGGUUUUUGCCGCAGGAGAAGGCGUGCUGGAAUGUGGCUCUUCGGAGUGUUAUAGCCAGUGCGAGAUGCUGCGUGCGGGGACCGAGGACUGCGACAUCUGUCUCGGAUGCUGGCACAACGGCGCAAUACCGCCCGUCUUGAACCACCGGACCAAA
RNAcentral lists this ribosomal RNA (611 nucleotides) under Pichia kudriavzevii. RNAcentral describes it as "partial large subunit ribosomal RNA". It matches the Rfam family "Eukaryotic large subunit ribosomal RNA", at positions 33 to 670 of the family's 3401-position model. Lineage: Eukaryota; Fungi; Ascomycota; Pichiomycetes; Pichiales; Pichiaceae. The record is from RNAcentral.